AGUGAACGCUGGCGGUAGGCCUAACACAUGCAAGUCGAACGGCAGCACAGUAAGAGCUUGCUCUUACGGGUGGCGAGUGGCGGACGGGUGAGGAAUACAUCGGAAUCUACUUUUUCGUGGGGGAUAACGUAGGGAAACUUACGCUAAUACCGCAUACGACCUACGGGUGAAAGCAGGGGAUCUUCGGACCUUGCGCGAUUGAAUGAGCCGAUGUCGGAUUAGCUAGUUGGGGAGGUAAAGGCCCACCAAGGCAACGAUACGUAGCUGGACUGAGCGGAGGAUCGGCCACACGGGGAAUGAGACACGGAGGAGCGUCAUACGGGAGGCAGCAGUAGGGAAUAUUGAGCAAUGGGCGAAAGUCUGAAGGAGCAACGCCGCGUGAGGAAAGAAGGUCUUCGGAUCGUAAAAAUCUGUUAUUAGGGAAGAAAAAAUGUGUAAGGAAAUAUGCACGUCUUGACGGGACAUAAUAAGAAAGCCACGGCUAACUACGUG
This 492-nucleotide ribosomal RNA is filed under the name uncultured bacterium. RNAcentral's name for it is "partial 16S ribosomal RNA". It matches the Rfam family "Bacterial small subunit ribosomal RNA", at positions 29 to 507 of the family's 1533-position model. The record is from RNAcentral.